ACUAAUCCUAGCCCUAGCCCUACACAAAUAUAAUUAUACUAUUAUAUAAAUCAAAACAUUUAUCCUACUAAAAGUAUUGGAGAAAGAAAUUCGUACAUCUAGGAGCUAUAGAACUAGUACCGCAAGGGAAAGAUGAAAGACUAAUUAAAAGUAAGAACAAGCAAAGAUUAAACCUUGUACCUUUUGCAUAAUGAACUAACUAGAAAACUUCUAACUAAAAGAAUUACAGCUAGAAACCCCGAAACCAAACGAGCUACCUAAAAACAAUUUUAUGAAUCAACUCGUCUAUGUGGCAAAAUAGUGAGAAGAUUUUUAGGUAGAGGUGAAAAGCCUAACGAGCUUGGUGAUAGCUGGUUACCCAAAAAAUGAAUUUAAGUUCAAUUUUAAACUUGCUAAAAAAACAACAAAAUCAAAAAGUAAGUUUAAAUUAUAGCCAAAAGAGGGACAGCUCUUCUGGAACGGAAAAAACCUUUAAUAGUGAAUAAUUAACAAAACAGCUUUUAACCAUUGUAGGCCUAAAAGCAGCCACCAAUAAAGAAAGCGUUCAAGCUCAACAUAAAAUUUCAAUUAAUUCCAUAAUUCACACCAACUUCCUAAACUUAAAAUUGGGUUAAUCUAUAACUUUAUAGAUGCAACACUGUUAGUAUGAGUAACAAGAAUUCCAAUUCUCCAGGCAUACGCGUAUAACAACUCGGAUAACCAUUGUUAGUUAAUCAGACUAUAGGCAAUAAUUACACUAUAAAUAAUACACCUAUAACUUCUCUGUUAACCCAACACCGGAAUGCCUAAAGGAAAGAUCCAAAAAGAUAAAAGGAACUCGGCAAACAAGAACCCCGCCUGUUUACCAAAAACAUCACCUCUAGCAUUACAAGUAUUAGAGGCACUGCCUGCCCAGUGACUAAAGUUUAACGGCCGCGGUAUCCUGACCGUGCAAAGGUAGCAUAAUCACUUGUUCCUUAAUUAGGGACUAGCAUGAACGGCUAAACGAGGGUCCAACUGUCUCUUAUCUUUAAUCAGUGAAAUUGACCUUUCAGUGAAGAGGCUGAAAUAUAAUAAUAAGACGAGAAGACCCUAUGGAGCUUAAAUUAUAUAACUUAUCUAUUUAAUUUAUUAAACCUAAUGGCCCAAAAACUAUAGUAUAAGUUUGAAAUUUCGGUUGGGGUGACCUCGGAGAAUAAAAAAUCCUCCGAAUGAUUAUAACCUAGACUUACAAGUCAAAGUAAAAUCAACAUAUCUUAUUGACCCAAAUAUAUUUUGAUCAACGGACCAAGUUACCCUAGGGAUAACAGCGCAAUCCUAUUUAAGAGUUCAUAUCGACAAUUAGGGUUUACGACCUCGAUGUUGGAUCAGGACAUCCCAAUGGUGUAGAAGCUAUUAAUGGUUCGUUUGUUCAACGAUUAAAGUCCUACGUGAUCUGAGUUCAGACCGGAGCAAUCCAGGUCGGUUUCUAUCUAUUUACGAUUUCUCCCAGUACGAAAGGACAAGAGAAAUAGAGCCACCUUACAAAUAAGCGCUCUCAACUUAAUUUAUGAAUAAAAUCUAAAUAAAAUAUAUACGUACACCCUCUAACCUAGAGAAGGUU
This 1582-nucleotide ribosomal RNA is filed under the name Mus musculus (house mouse). RNAcentral's name for it is "16S ribosomal RNA". It matches the Rfam family "Bacterial large subunit ribosomal RNA". The record is from RNAcentral. Lineage: Eukaryota; Metazoa; Chordata; Mammalia; Rodentia; Muridae.